ACGGGAGGCAGCAGCUAAGAAUAUUCCGCAAUGGACGAAAGUCUGACGGAGCGACACCGCGUGGGUGAUGGAGGCCGGAAGGUUGUAAAACCCUUUUAGAAGUGAGGAAGUUCCUUGGGAGGUAAUGCUCGGGGAGUGACGGUAACUUGUGAAUAAGCAACGGCUAAUUACGUGCCAGCAGCCGCGGUAACACGUAAGUUGCGAGCGUUGUUCGGAAUCAUUGGGCGUAAAGGGCAUGUAGGCGGUUUGCUAAGCGGGGAGUGAAAUCCCGAGGCUCAACCUCGGGGCUGCUCCCCGAACUGGUAAACUUGAGUCACCGAAGCGUAAUCGGAAUUCCAGGUGUAGGGGUGAAAUCUGUAGAUAUCUGGAAGAACACCAGUGGCGAAGGCGGAUUACGGGCGGAUGACUGACGCUGAGGUGCGAAGGUGCGGGGAGCGAACAGGAUUAGAUACCCUGGUA
RNAcentral lists this ribosomal RNA (459 nucleotides) under uncultured Treponema sp. RNAcentral's name for it is "partial 16S ribosomal RNA". It matches the Rfam family "Bacterial small subunit ribosomal RNA", at positions 341 to 792 of the family's 1533-position model. Lineage: Bacteria; Pseudomonadati; Spirochaetota; Spirochaetia; Treponematales; Treponemataceae. The record is from RNAcentral.